Molecule: ribosomal RNA, 164 nt
Filed under: uncultured bacterium
Lineage: Bacteria
Description: partial 16S rRNA
Rfam family: Bacterial small subunit ribosomal RNA
Source: RNAcentral
UAGGGAAUCUUCCACAAUGGACGCAAGUCUGAUGGAGCAACGCCGCGUGAGUGAAGAAGGUUUUCGGAUCGUAAGGCUCUGUUGUUGGUGAAGAAGGAUAGAGGCAGUAACUGGUCUUUAUUUGACGGUAAUCAACCAGAAAGUCACGGCUAACUACGUUCCAG